GAGAGCCGGAUGCUCGGAAACGAGCCAGUCCGGUUCGGCGGGAGGCCGUGGGGAAAAGGACCUGCCCAGCAGACACCUCGCCCCACGGCCCACCCUGY
Frankia sp. is the source of this 98-nucleotide non-coding RNA. Lineage: Bacteria; Bacillati; Actinomycetota; Actinomycetes; Frankiales; Frankiaceae. The record is from Rfam.